AGAGUUGAUCAUGGCUCAGACGAACGCUGGCGGCGUGCUUAACACAUGCAAAUCGAACGAGAAUCACUGGAAGGAGUUUCGGACAACGGAAGGUGAGGAAAGUGGCGGACGGGUGAGUAACGCGUGAGGAACCUGCCUUGGAGAGGGGGACAACAGCUGGAAACGGCUGCUAAUACCGCAUGACGCAACGAAGUCGCAUGGCUUUGUUGCCAAAGAUUUAUCGCUCUGAGAUGGCCUCGCGUCUGAUUAGGUAGUUGGUGAGGUAACGGCCCACCAAGCCGACGAUCAGUAGCCGGACUGAGAGGUUGAACGGCCACAUUGGGACUGAGAUACGGCCCAGACUCCUACGGGAGGCAGCAGUGGGGAAUAUUGGGCAAUGGGCGCAAAGCCUGACCCAGCAACGCCGCGUGAAGGAAGAAGGCUUUCGGGUUGUAAACUUCUUUUAAGAGGGAAGAGCAGAAGACGGUACCUCUAGAAUAAGCCACGGCUAACUACGUGCCAGCCGCCGC
This 509-nucleotide ribosomal RNA is filed under the name uncultured bacterium. RNAcentral describes it as "bacterial SSU rRNA". It matches the Rfam family "Bacterial small subunit ribosomal RNA", at positions 8 to 518 of the family's 1533-position model. The record is from RNAcentral.